Long non-coding RNA from Ostrinia furnacalis (Asian corn borer), 227 nucleotides. RefSeq lists it as uncharacterized. The record is from RefSeq and is a predicted model, not a curated record. Lineage: Eukaryota; Metazoa; Arthropoda; Insecta; Lepidoptera; Crambidae. The transcript is spliced from 3 exons.
AGGUGCCCAAACAUCACCCACGUCUAACGCGCAGGCUGAGAAACAGCCUCAAGCUCCAGGGCAACAAGGGGGCGACAAAAAGUCAAGGAAGUCAAAAGGAAGAAAGAAGGGGCUUUUGAAGGGGCAAAGAAAAUUAGCUAAAUACUUUAUUUUGUUUGCGGCAAUCGUCAUAUUAAUAAUCCUGCUAGAUGUAUACGUUGUUCCCUUCUACUCAAGCAAGGAUGACU